This 72-nucleotide transfer RNA is filed under the name Camelus ferus (Wild Bactrian camel). It matches the Rfam family "tRNA". Rfam says of the family: Transfer RNA (tRNA) molecules are approximately 80 nucleotides in length. Their secondary structure includes four short double-helical elements and three loops (D, anti-codon, and T loops). Further hydrogen bonds mediate the characteristic L-shaped molecular structure. tRNAs have two regions of fundamental functional importance: the anti-codon, which is responsible for specific mRNA codon recognition, and the 3' end, to which the tRNAs corresponding amino acid is attached (by aminoacyl-tRNA synthetases). tRNAs cope with the degeneracy of the genetic code in two manners: having more than one tRNA (with a specific anti-codon) for a particular amino acid; and 'wobble' base-pairing, i.e. permitting non-standard base-pairing at the 3rd anti-codon position. Lineage: Eukaryota; Metazoa; Chordata; Mammalia; Artiodactyla; Camelidae. The record is from Rfam by way of RNAcentral.
GAGGGUACAGCUCAGUGGUAGAGCGCUUGCUUAGCAUGUGCAAGGUCCUGGGUUCAAUCUCCAGUACCUCCC